RNAcentral lists this ribosomal RNA (440 nucleotides) under uncultured bacterium. Its description in RNAcentral is "partial 16S ribosomal RNA". It matches the Rfam family "Bacterial small subunit ribosomal RNA", at positions 339 to 795 of the family's 1533-position model. The record is from RNAcentral.
CUACGGGCCGCAGCAGUGAGGAAUAUUGCACAAUGGGGGGAACCCUGAUGCAGCAACGCCGCGUGGAGGAUGACGCAUUUCGGUGUGUAAACUCCUUUUAUAUGUCAAGAAAAUGACGGUAGCAUAUGAAUAAGCACCGGCGUAACUCCGUGCCAGCAGCCGCGGUAAUACGGAGGGUGCAAGCGUUACUCGGAAUCACUGGGCGUAAAGGACGCGUAGGCGGGUUGGAAAGUCAGGUGUGAAAUCCUACAGCUUAACUGUAGAACUGCACUUGAAACUUCUAAUCUAGAGUAUGGGAGGGGGAGAUGGAAUUAGUGGUGUAGGGGUAAAAUCCGUAGAUAUCACUAGGAAUACCUAAAGCGAAGGCGAUCUCCUGGAACAUUACUGACGCUAAGGCGUGAAAGUGUGGGGAGCAAACAGGAUUAGAUACCCGGGUAGUC